UUUUGGUGAGGUGCCUUCCGAGUUCCCUGGAACGGGACGCCACAGAGGGUGAGAGCCCCGUCUGGUUGGACACCGAGCCUCUGUAAAGCUCCUUCGACGAGUCGAGUAGUUUGGGAAUGCUGCUCUAAAUGGGAGGUAUAUGUCUUCUAAAGCUAAAUACCGGCCAGAGACCGAUAGCGCACAAGUAGAGUGAUCGAAAGAUGAAAAGAACUUUGAAAAGAGAGUUAAACAGUACGUGAAAUUGUUGAAAGGGAAGCGCUUGUGACCAGACUUGGGCUUGGUUGAUCAUCCGGGGUUCUCCCCGGUGCACUCUUCCGGCUCAGGCCAGCAUCAGUUCGCCCUGGGGGAUAAAGGCAGCGGGAAUGUGGCUCUCUCCGGGGAGUGUUAUAGCCCGCUGCGUAAUACCCUGUGGC
RNAcentral lists this ribosomal RNA (413 nucleotides) under Fusarium solani-melongenae. Its description in RNAcentral is "partial large subunit ribosomal RNA". It matches the Rfam family "Eukaryotic large subunit ribosomal RNA", at positions 163 to 584 of the family's 3401-position model. The record is from RNAcentral. Lineage: Eukaryota; Fungi; Ascomycota; Sordariomycetes; Hypocreales; Nectriaceae.